AAAAGCUUUUUCUUGCUCCAAUCAAUCUUGUUAGGAGGCCUUUCCAGAGGAAAGAGACUGUUCUACCGGUGGAGGGUGUCAAUUCUCUCUGUCAGCUUAUCCAUCGUGUACUUCGUAGCCAUGAGGAGACGUCGUUUCAGGAGCUGGCUAGAGAGAGACUUUUCAUGGAAUUGGAAUAUGAACGUGCAAUGUCCAUGGAUGCAACUCGAGAUGCAAAAGCCAAGGAAAAUUCGCUAACAUCUGCAGCAGUUGGUGCCUCCCUCGGCGCUGGCCUCGGCAUUGUUUUGGCAGUCGUUAUGGGAGCAGCCUCUGCAUUGAGAAAACCUUGAUUCUUCAUCUUGCCAUAAUUUGUGAGUUUGUAUAUUCGGUGUGAAAGCACUUGCAUGGUUUUUUAUACAUGGUGGUUUAUUUAAUUAGUUAAGGUUCUUCGAUUGAUUACCAUUACCUACAUACACUAUUUGCUUAAUAUUCAUGUAAAAUUAUAAUAGGGAAGAAAAUUGGAUCUCUCAGAAAUUUGGCAGAUUGGAU
This 528-nucleotide unclassified non-coding RNA is filed under the name Hevea brasiliensis (rubber tree). The record is from RNAcentral. Lineage: Eukaryota; Viridiplantae; Streptophyta; Magnoliopsida; Malpighiales; Euphorbiaceae.